CCUACGGGAGGCAGCAGUGAGGAAUAUUGGUCAAUGGACGAGAGUCUGAACCAGCCAAGUAGCGUGAAGGAUGACUGCCCUAUGGGUUGUAAACUUCUUUUAUAUGGGAAUAAAACGUUCCACGUGUGGGAUUUUGUAUGUACCAUAUGAAUAAGGAUCGGCUAACUCCGUGCCAGCAGCCGCGGUAAUACGGAGGAUCCGAGCGUUAUCCGGAUUUAUUGGGUUUAAAGGGAGCGUAGGUGGAUUGUUAAGUCAGUUGUGAAAGUUUGCGGCUCAACCGUAAAAUUGCAGUUGAAACUGGCAGUCUUGAGUACAGUAGAGGUGUGCGGAAUUCGUGGUGUAGCGGUGAAAUGCUUAGAUAUCACGAAGAACUCCGAUUGCGAAGGCAGUUCACUGGACUGCAACUGACACUGAGGCUCGAAAGUGUGGGUAUCAAACAGGAUUAGAUACCCGUGUAGUC
RNAcentral lists this ribosomal RNA (460 nucleotides) under uncultured bacterium. RNAcentral describes it as "partial 16S ribosomal RNA". It matches the Rfam family "Bacterial small subunit ribosomal RNA", at positions 338 to 795 of the family's 1533-position model. The record is from RNAcentral.